Molecule: ribosomal RNA, 1557 nt
Filed under: Escherichia coli
Lineage: Bacteria; Pseudomonadati; Pseudomonadota; Gammaproteobacteria; Enterobacterales; Enterobacteriaceae
Description: bacterial LSU rRNA
Rfam family: Bacterial large subunit ribosomal RNA
Source: RNAcentral
AUGCUGGAGGUAUCAGAAGUGCGAAUGCUGACAUAAGUAACGAUAAAGCGGGUGAAAAGCCCGCUCGCCGGAAGACCAAGGGUUCCUGUCCAACGUUAAUCGGGGCAGGGUGAGUCGACCCCUAAGGCGAGGCCGAAAGGCGUAGUCGAUGGGAAACAGGUUAAUAUUCCUGUACUUGGUGUUACUGCGAAGGGGGGACGGAGAAGGCUAUGUUGGCCGGGCGACGGUUGUCCCGGUUUAAGCGUGUAGGCUGGUUUUCCAGGCAAAUCCGGAAAAUCAAGGCUGAGGCGUGAUGACGAGGCACUACGGUGCUGAAGCAACAAAUGCCCUGCUUCCAGGAAAAGCCUCUAAGCAUCAGGUAACAUCAAAUCGUACCCCAAACCGACACAGGUGGUCAGGUAGAGAAUACCAAGGCGCUUGAGAGAACUCGGGUGAAGGAACUAGGCAAAAUGGUGCCGUAACUUCGGGAGAAGGCACGCUGAUAUGUAGGUGAAGCGACUUGCUCGUGGAGCUGAAAUCAGUCGAAGAUACCAGCUGGCUGCAACUGUUUAUUAAAAACACAGCACUGUGCAAACACGAAAGUGGACGUAUACGGUGUGACGCCUGCCCGGUGCCGGAAGGUUAAUUGAUGGGGUUAGCGCAAGCGAAGCUCUUGAUCGAAGCCCCGGUAAACGGCGGCCGUAACUAUAACGGUCCUAAGGUAGCGAAAUUCCUUGUCGGGUAAGUUCCGACCUGCACGAAUGGCGUAAUGAUGGCCAGGCUGUCUCCACCCGAGACUCAGUGAAAUUGAACUCGCUGUGAAGAUGCAGUGUACCCGCGGCAAGACGGAAAGACCCCGUGAACCUUUACUAUAGCUUGACACUGAACAUUGAGCCUUGAUGUGUAGGAUAGGUGGGAGGCUUUGAAGUGUGGACGCCAGUCUGCAUGGAGCCGACCUUGAAAUACCACCCUUUAAUGUUUGAUGUUCUAACGUUGACCCGUAAUCCGGGUUGCGGACAGUGUCUGGUGGGUAGUUUGACUGGGGCGGUCUCCUCCUAAAGAGUAACGGAGGAGCACGAAGGUUGGCUAAUCCUGGUCGGACAUCAGGAGGUUAGUGCAAUGGCAUAAGCCAGCUUGACUGCGAGCGUGACGGCGCGAGCAGGUGCGAAAGCAGGUCAUAGUGAUCCGGUGGUUCUGAAUGGAAGGGCCAUCGCUCAACGGAUAAAAGGUACUCCGGGGAUAACAGGCUGAUACCGCCCAAGAGUUCAUAUCGACGGCGGUGUUUGGCACCUCGAUGUCGGCUCAUCACAUCCUGGGGCUGAAGUAGGUCCCAAGGGUAUGGCUGUUCGCCAUUUAAAGUGGUACGCGAGCUGGGUUUAGAACGUCGUGAGACAGUUCGGUCCCUAUCUGCCGUGGGCGCUGGAGAACUGAGGGGGGCUGCUCCUAGUACGAGAGGACCGGAGUGGACGCAUCACUGGUGUUCGGGUUGUCAUGCCAAUGGCACUGCCCGGUAGCUAAAUGCGGAAGAGAUAAGUGCUGAAAGCAUCUAAGCACGAAACUUGCCCCGAGAUGAGUUCU